RNAcentral lists this ribosomal RNA (510 nucleotides) under uncultured bacterium. RNAcentral describes it as "partial 16S ribosomal RNA". It matches the Rfam family "Bacterial small subunit ribosomal RNA", at positions 355 to 855 of the family's 1533-position model. The record is from RNAcentral.
UGGGGAAUAUUGCACAAUGGGCGCAAGCCUGAUGCAGCCAUGCCGCGUGUGUGAAGAAGGCCUUCGGGUUGUAAAGCACUUUCAGCGAGGAGGAAGGUGGUGGACUUAAUACGUUCAUCAAUUGACGUUACUCGCAGAAGAAGCACCGGCUAACUCCGUGCCAGCAGCCGCGGUAAUACGGAGGGUGCAAGCGUUAAUCGGAAUUACUGGGCGUAAAGCGCACGCAGGCGGUUUGUUAAGUCAGAUGUGAAAUCCCCGGGCUCAACCUGGGAACUGCAUUUGAAACUGGCAAGCUAGAGUCUCGUAGAGGGGGGUAGAAUUCCAGGUGUAGCGGUGAAAUGCGUAGAGAUCUGGAGGAAUACCGGUGGCGAAGGCGGCCCCCUGGACGAAGACUGACGCUCAGGUGCGAAAGCGUGGGGAGCAAAACAGGAUUAGAUACCCUGGUAGUCCACGCUGUAAACGAUGUCGAUUUUGGAGGUUGUGCCCUUGAGGCGUGGCUUCCGGAGCUAA